GCAGAUCAUGAAGUAGCUGCUCAGCACAUUAACUCCUUGGUAGCUGGCAGUUCCUGCCGCUCUGAGGACAUCCUGCUGCUUGUGAGAGAGCAGGCCGGGCACACCUCUGCACCAUGCAAUGCAGCAUCAUGUGUGAGACCUCUCUACUACCCCUAAAGGAACCGUUUUCCAGACCAGCCAGGGAAGGCACUGCACACAAUAGCUUGGAGGAAUAAUAGAAGGCUCAGAGAAGACGUCAAACUCUGUGUGCCUGGCUCCUGCACUCUGAAGAGGAUG
Molecule: long non-coding RNA, 276 nt
Filed under: Anas platyrhynchos (mallard)
Lineage: Eukaryota; Metazoa; Chordata; Aves; Anseriformes; Anatidae
Description: lncRNA (ENSAPLG00020012097.1)
Source: RNAcentral